AACAAUACCCAACAAUACUGAGCCACGGAUGCCGCCCGGCCUGCCUGCUGCCUGCUGCCCCCUAUCCUAGCUCUUCCUCUUUGCCAUGCCGCUAGUCCGUUGAAUUGCAAGAAAGCAAUUGCUAAAAGUGACAAACAGCCAUAAACAAAUAACAGCAAAAUAUGAGAGAAAAUUAGGGCACAGACAUAUCCUUAAAUUUGUAUCAUCUGCUUUCACGAUACGUCCCUCGACGUAGCUUUUUUUUUAAUUUGGCUGAAAGUUCAAACCACCCUCAGCCUACGUAAAUCUUGACGAUGUAUGGCACCGUCCAGAAAAUACGUCCGUUUGUCGUAGAUUCAUUCGGCAAUGUACGGGAGCUCGGCGCCUGUGAAACUCAGGGUACGCCACCCCGCAGUACACGUAUGCAAUGCUGGAAAGAUGUUGCCUACCUAUCAGGCGCUAUGAGAGCUUGCAAAGCUGAACUCAAAGCUGAACAAAGCUGAACGUAGCCGAAAGACGGACGUACUUUCUGGGUGAUCCCUAUUCUGACUCCCUUCUCCCGACAGGGUGCUCGGGGGACACUUUCGGACAGAGGUGCGAGUUCCGCUGCCCGGACGAGACCCUCGGCUGCUUCGGCACCGUCCUCUGCGUCCCGGGCCACUACUGCGCCUGCGCGCCGGGGCUCGGCGGCGACCGCUGCGACAGAGUGUGCCAGCCCGGAGACACCGACUGCACGCUCCCGUGCGACGCGCCGCCGUGAACGCCGUGAAUCACCCCGCGGCUGUCACUGGAGUCAACUUGCACCGAAGAAAGACUAGUUCUAUAGUCUUCCUACUCCUUAAGGUUUAAUUUAUUUUUUCUACAUGCGGUAAGGCAGUAGAAAAAAUUGUAAAAAAAAUCGUACAAUGUUGUUGUUUGUACCUACGAUACUUUGAUUUCUUUCGUGUGUUUUAUUUGUUUUUGAUCUCACAAAAGAAAGAGUCAUGGUUGUGAUAAGAUAGUCGUCUUUUUAUAAGUUAGUUGUAAAUAACAUGAGCUCAGGAAAGAUGUAAGUAUAGCCAGCCCGGUAAUGGUGACAUGUCACGCGUGUAGAUGUAAAAAUAAUUUGCAAAAUGAACUCCUUGUUCAGAACUAUUUUCCCGACUUACGAACUGUAGUGAAAGUUGAAAAUAUUAAACCACCAAAAAAAUGUAAAA
Long non-coding RNA from Frankliniella occidentalis (western flower thrips), 1175 nucleotides. RefSeq lists it as uncharacterized. The record is from RefSeq and is a predicted model, not a curated record. NCBI's taxonomy places the organism in Eukaryota, Metazoa, Arthropoda, Insecta, Thysanoptera, Thripidae. The transcript has 2 exons.